This 248-nucleotide long non-coding RNA is filed under the name Ictidomys tridecemlineatus (thirteen-lined ground squirrel). Its description in RNAcentral is "lncRNA (ENSSTOG00000031676.1)". Lineage: Eukaryota; Metazoa; Chordata; Mammalia; Rodentia; Sciuridae. The record is from RNAcentral.
CAGGAACCUAUGGAGGCUUCUCCUGGGGUGGAGCUGACAGCUGGUUGAGGAGAGGGUUGUAAGAAGAAGUUGAUGUUCUCACCAAGGUCAAGGUGUGGCUGUAGAAUUUGACAGUGGUAAGGACAAUGCAGAGGAUCAGGCAGAUGAUGAGAAGAGUUGGGAUGUCCAUCCAGGUCCUCAUCAGGCUCUUUGUAAGCUGUCCCUGAGGAGACAUGAGGCUGUGGGAAAAGGCGGAGAAUCAAAUCGAU